UCCGUGGUAACACCACGGCAGUCCCUGGUGACACUCAUAACACCAGGCAAGGGUUGCGCUCGUUGCGGGACUUAACCCAACAUCUCACGACACGAGCUGACGACAGCCAUGCACCACCUGUGAUGAGGUCCGAAGAAGACGUGUUUCCACGUUUGUCCUCAACAUGUCAAGCCUAGGUAAGGUUCUUCGCGUUGCGUCGAAUUAAACCACAUGCUCCGCUGCUUGUGCGGGUCCCCGUCAAUUCCUUUGAGUUUUAGCCUUGCGGCCGUACUCCCCAGGCGGGGCGCUUAAUGCGUUAGCUUCGGCACGGAGGGAGUCGACACCCCCCACACCUAGUGUUCAUCGUUUACGGCUAGGACUAC
RNAcentral lists this unclassified non-coding RNA (362 nucleotides) under uncultured Gaiellales bacterium. RNAcentral's name for it is "contains 16S-23S intergenic spacer region". Lineage: Bacteria; Bacillati; Actinomycetota; Thermoleophilia; Gaiellales. The record is from RNAcentral.